AGUGAACGCUGGCGGUAGGCCUAACACAUGCAAGUCGAACGGCAGCACAGUAAGAGCUUGCUCUUACGGGUGGCGAGUGGCGGACGGGUGAGGAAUACAUCGGAAUCUACUUUUUCGUGGGGGAUAACGUAGGGAAACUUACGCUAAUACCUCAUACGACCUACGGGUGAAAGCAGGGGAUCUUCGGACCUUGCGCGAUUGAAUGAGCCGAUGUCGGAUUAGCUAGUUGGCAAGGUAAAGGCCCACCAAGGCGACGAUCCGUAGCCGACCUGAGAGGAUGAGAGGCGACAGUGGAAAUGAGACACGGGCAAGAAUAAUAAGGGAGGCAGAAGUAGGGAAUAUUAAGCAAGGGGCGAAAGCAUGAAGGAGAAACGCCGCGUGAGUGAUGAAGGUAUGCGGAUCGUAAAACUCUGUUAUGAGGGAAGAACAAAUGGGUAAGUAACUAUGCACGUCUUGACGGUACAUAAUCAGAAAGACACGGAUAACUACGUG
RNAcentral lists this ribosomal RNA (492 nucleotides) under uncultured bacterium. RNAcentral describes it as "partial 16S ribosomal RNA". It matches the Rfam family "Bacterial small subunit ribosomal RNA", at positions 29 to 507 of the family's 1533-position model. The record is from RNAcentral.